AACGAACGCUGGCGGCAUGCCUAACACAUGCAAGUCGAACGAGACCUUCGGGUCUAGUGGCGCACGGGUGCGUAACGCGUGGGAACCUGCCCUUAGGUUCGGAAUAACUCCCCGAAAGGGGUGCUAAUACCGGAUAAUGUCUUCGGACCAAAGAUUUAUCGCCUUUGGAUGGGCCCGCGUUGGAUUAGCUAGUUGGUAGGGUAAAAGCCUACCAAGGCGACGAUCCAUAGCUGGUCUGAGAGGAUGAUCAGCCACACUGGGACUGAGACACGGCCCAGACUCCUACGGGAGGGGGGAGUGGGGAAUAGUGGAAAGUGGGGGAAGGCCUGAUCCAGCAAUGCCGGGAGAGUGAGGAAGGCCGGGGGGUUGAAAAGCUUUUUUACCGGGGAUGAUAAUGACGGUACCGGGAGAAUAAGCCCCGGCUAACUCCGUG
This 433-nucleotide ribosomal RNA is filed under the name uncultured bacterium. Its description in RNAcentral is "partial 16S ribosomal RNA". It matches the Rfam family "Bacterial small subunit ribosomal RNA", at positions 29 to 507 of the family's 1533-position model. The record is from RNAcentral.